CCAUCCCCACCUACAUUAUCCUAACUAGGGUUUUGUUGAGCUGGGCCUUAAAAACCUCAAAAGAUGUAGAUUCUACCCCUUCUCUAGGUAAUCCAUUCUAGUGCUUCACUACCCUCCCAGUAAGAGUUUUUCCUAAUAUCCAACUUAAACCUCCCUUGCUGCACCU
This is a long non-coding RNA of Gavialis gangeticus (Gharial), 166 nucleotides long. RefSeq lists it as uncharacterized. The record is from RefSeq and is a predicted model, not a curated record. The transcript is spliced from 3 exons. Lineage: Eukaryota; Metazoa; Chordata; Crocodylia; Gavialidae.